GACGAACGCUGGCGGCGUGCCUAAUACAUGCAAGUAGAACGCUGAAGGAAGGAGCUUGCUCUUUCUGGAUGAGUUGCGAACGGGUGAGUAACGCGUAGGUAACCUGCCUGGUAGCGGGGGAUAACUAUUGGAAACGAUAGCUAAUACCGCAUAAAAUUGAUUAUUGCAUGAUAGUCAAUUAAAAGGUGCAACUGCACCACUACCAGAUGGACCUGCGUUGUAUUAGCUAGUUGGUGGGGUAACGGCUCACCAAGGCGACGAUACAUAGCCGACCUGAGAGGGUGAUCGGCCACACUGGGACUGAGACACGGCCCAGACGCCUACGGGAGGCAGCAGUAGGGAAUCUUCGGCAAUGGACGGAAGUCUGACCGAGCAACGCCGCGUGAGUGAAGAAGGUUGUCGGAUCGGAAAGCUCUGUUGUAAGAGAAGAACGAGUGUGAGAGUGGAAAGUUCACACUGUGACGGUAUCUUACCAGAAAGGGACGGCUAACUACGUG
This 497-nucleotide ribosomal RNA is filed under the name uncultured bacterium. Its description in RNAcentral is "partial 16S ribosomal RNA". It matches the Rfam family "Bacterial small subunit ribosomal RNA", at positions 28 to 507 of the family's 1533-position model. The record is from RNAcentral.